RNAcentral lists this transfer-messenger RNA (346 nucleotides) under Spirochaetaceae bacterium. It matches the Rfam family "transfer-messenger RNA". Rfam says of the family: Bacterial tmRNA, also known as 10Sa RNA or SsrA, is named for its dual tRNA and mRNA-like properties. Its role is to liberate the mRNA from a stalled ribosome. The record is from RNAcentral. Lineage: Bacteria; Pseudomonadati; Spirochaetota; Spirochaetia; Spirochaetales; Spirochaetaceae.
GGGGGUGCACUGGUUUCGACUGGUACGGUUCGGGGCCCAGGCCGCAGGUGGAGUGCCGAUCUCCUGAUUCGGCAAAACUUUAACUGCCAACAACGACAGUUACGAUUACGCCUUAGCCGCGUAACCGCGUGGAACCGUUCCGCCGCUCUGAGGGACGGCUUCCGCGUCGCAAUCAGGGCUGGCUGCGCCGCCGCUUCCGGAGACGGCGUGGCAAGAUUUUCCGGAAUACGGACCGGCCGCGCGCCGUUUAGCCAAGCCGGUCCCGACAAUACGAUAAACGGCUAAACCUGUAGAAGCUUGUGUUUCGCGUAUCAGGACGCGGGUUCGACUCCCGCCACCUCCAAAA